This is an RNA transcript of Dioscorea cayenensis subsp. rotundata (Guinea yam), 532 nucleotides long. It is a transcript of the gene named dormancy-associated protein homolog 4-like, with no coding region annotated. Lineage: Eukaryota; Viridiplantae; Streptophyta; Magnoliopsida; Dioscoreales; Dioscoreaceae. The transcript has 4 exons. The record is from RefSeq and is a predicted model, not a curated record.
GAGAAAGGAAUUCCCAAAAUCUCGAUAUGGGCAUUAUCGAUCACCUCUGGGACGAAACCCUCGCCGGUCCUCGCCCCGAUUCCUUCCCCUCCUCCGCCGUCUCCGGCGCCACCGCCGUCCCCAAGCCCUUGCCAGUCACCAGGAGCAUCACCAUCGUCCGUGCCGGCCACCGCUUUCACUCGCCGGACUCCGCACCUUCCUCCCCUGUUAGCGCUCCCGAAUCUCCCCUCACACCUGGGACUCCGAGGAGCGAUUGGAGGAGGUCGCUGAGGAAGCCGCCGGCGACGUCUGCUGCGGCGGCGGCUGAGCCCAGGACCCCCACCGUCUACGAUUGGGUGGUGAUUAGCUCUUUGGACAAAUGAGAUAAAGAGAGAGAGAGAGAGAGAGUGAACAAAGUUUUGAAUCACUAAAAGCUGGUGGUGAUAAGUUCUUUGGACAGAUAAGGUAGAGACAGAGAGAAAGAUGUGAAGACUAGGUUGUCUUUUCUUUGGCAACUCUGUACAAAAGAAGCUGCAACUUCAACUUUCUUUUU